Molecule: long non-coding RNA, 901 nt
Filed under: Nicotiana tabacum (common tobacco)
Lineage: Eukaryota; Viridiplantae; Streptophyta; Magnoliopsida; Solanales; Solanaceae
Description: long non-coding RNA (NTAB_LNC004058)
Source: RNAcentral
UCGAGUCCAUCAAUUCUUGAUUUUAACAUCACUACUCCGACCUGAAGCAGCAAAAUUGGAUGUUCAUGGGAUUAAAAUAUCCUAAAAAUAAGUAAACAUAAGCAAAUUCCAAAACUGGAUACUAGUCUUCAAAAUCUCUAUUGCUGCAAUAAUUGCUUAAGCCAACCUGACAGUAACUAACUUAAAUUUUGUAACCCCUGCUCUUUCUUCUUUAUUUGUUAAUCCACUCUAUUAGUCUAACUAAUCACUUCACAAUACAAAAAAUAACACAUUAAAUUAUUUAGUAAACUAAUUACAAUUAAACCAAAUAAACCAAAAUAUCUAAGGCAUUUAUGGGAGAUUGGGCAGAGAAGCAGAUUAAGACUCUUAAGUAGAAGAAAACAAUUAAAGUAAAAACAAAUGAAGAAUAACAAAAGUAUCAAACAGACUCACCAAAACUUGAGCGAACGCCAUAUAAACUGGAAUGAAAUGGGAAGAUUGACAUUUAUAUUAACAAAUUUGGCUUGAAUAUUACAGUUGCACUCCCAAGGUGAACGAAGCGUAGGAGUCUGACCAAUGACCGGAGCUCGGAAUCUCGUCGACGAUCUCAAACUCGACUGAAGUUUUGGUUCUGUUUCACGGUGGAAUUAGCAACAAUCUGAGCUACUGUUUUGGGGUUAAAGAGUGAUGACAACUAUGAUUUUAGUAAUUGAUUUUGCGGGUUUAAAAAGAGCUGUUUCUCGGCUGAUUUUGCCGGGUUUGAGGGGUUAUUUCACGGUCAAUUUUCAGCUUAUUCCAGGCAAUUUUUGGGGUUGUUCUGUGCUGUUUUUCGCUGGAAGCUUCGUGAAGAAGAUGAAGUUUUGGAGGGGUCAGGGGGUUGUGUUCUUCUCAGCGGCGAAUUUCAAUGUAUUUUUUAGGUGUA